CAGCCGCCGCGGUAAUUCCGGCGGCCCGAGUGGCGGUCACUAUUAUUGGGCUUAAAACGUCCGUAGCCGGGUUGGGAAGUCCUCCGGGAAAUCUGGCCGCUUAACGGUCAGAAUGCCGGAGGAUACUCCCAGCCUAGGGACCGGGAGAGGCCGAGGGGAUUCCCGGAGUAGGGGGGAAAUCCUAUAAUCCCGGGAGGACCACCUGUGGCGAAGGCGCUCGGCUGGAACGCGUCCGACGGUGAGGGACGAAGGCCAGGGGAGCAAACCGGAUUAGAUACCCGGGUAGUCCUGGCUGUAAACGAUGCGGACUUUGUGUCGGACAAGCUAUGAGCUUGUCCGGUGCCGGAGGGAAACCGUUAAGUCCGCCGCCUGGGGAGUACGGCCGCAAGGCUGAAACUUAAAGGAAUUGGCGGG
RNAcentral lists this ribosomal RNA (414 nucleotides) under uncultured microorganism. Its description in RNAcentral is "bacterial SSU rRNA". It matches the Rfam family "Archaeal small subunit ribosomal RNA", at positions 459 to 872 of the family's 1478-position model. The record is from RNAcentral.